This 496-nucleotide ribosomal RNA is filed under the name uncultured bacterium. Its description in RNAcentral is "partial 16S ribosomal RNA". It matches the Rfam family "Bacterial small subunit ribosomal RNA", at positions 28 to 523 of the family's 1533-position model. The record is from RNAcentral.
GAUGAACGCUAGCGGCAGGCUUAACACAUGCAAGUCGAGGGGUAGAGGUUGCUUGCAACCUUGAGACCGGCGCACGGGUGCGUAACGCGUAUGCAACCUACCUUUUACAGAGGGAUAGCCCAGAGAAAUUUGGAUUAAUACCUCAUAGUAUAUAACCUUCGCAUGUUGGUUAUAUUAAAGUUCCAACGGUAAAAGAUGGGCAUGCGUCCUAUUAGCUAGAUGGUAAGGUAACGGCUUACCAUGGGAACGAUAGGUAGGGGUCCUGAGAGGGAGAUCCCCCACCCUGGUAAUGAGACACGGACCAGACUCCUACGGGAGGCAGCAGUGAGGAAUAUUGGACAAUGGGCGCAAGCCUGAUCCAGCCAUGCCGCGUGCAGGAAGAAGCAUCUAUGGUGUGUAAACUGCUUUUGUACAGGAAGAAACACCCCGACGUGUCGGGGCUUGACGGUACUGUAAGAAUAAGGAUCGGCUAACUCCGUGCCAGCCGCCGCGGUAA